This 253-nucleotide ribosomal RNA is filed under the name uncultured bacterium. RNAcentral's name for it is "partial 16S ribosomal RNA". It matches the Rfam family "Bacterial small subunit ribosomal RNA", at positions 524 to 776 of the family's 1533-position model. The record is from RNAcentral.
UACGGGGGGGGCAAGCGUUGUUCGGAAUUACUGGGCGUAAAGGGCUCGUAGGUGGCCAACUAAGUCAGACGUGAAAUCCCUCGGCUUAACCGGGGAACUGCGUCUGAUACUGGAUGGCUUGAGAUUGGGAGAGGGAUGCGGAAUUCCAGGUGUAGCGGUGAAAUGCGUAGAUAUCUGGAGGAACACCGGUGGCGAGGGCGGCAUCCUGGACCAACACUGACGCUGAGGAGCGAAAGCCAGGGGAGCAAACGGG